ACCAGUCUCCAGGAUUCUUGCCCUGACUUGGACAUUUGUGGGAUUUAUGGUUAAGGGAGAUCACUUGGCCAUAAAUCCCCGGUGAGGAAUGAUGAUGGUCCUCCCUCCCUACCCCCAAAAUUAAAGGCGCGAGAGCAGGACUCCCUGAAGGGAAACGGCCACCAUUUCUGCGAGGUCUGCGCAAACCUUACCAUGUAUGUGCCACCGUGAAACGCCGCUGUUUGGGGAUGUUGCUGCUGAGAAGCAUUCUGCGCAGAAGCCUGGGGGAAUUUCUCGGAGAGAUCACUGGAGAGAGCUUGGGAGAAACCGAUUUCCUCGCUGUCUUGGACUUCUCAUGCUGCAACAGGUUUUCUCGCAAGGAUUUCACAAGGUCUUCGUUCAGCCACGGGUUUGGACAAUGCGGAUUAUCCACUUCAGGUACUGUUAAAGUGUCCGGGCUUGUCUGCUGAGCCAUUUUCCUGGUCAACUUUGUACAGCUGGCAAGAAUCCAGGGCAACGUGGUUCCCUCGCUCACGGUCCCGGAAAUGUCCAGGGAAGCAGGUCUGAGCCUGCUGCUGUUAGUGCAUUCAGUCGCCUGCCUCAGUCUCUCUGUAGAGCCUGGGGCUGGGUGCAGAGGAGGGAAAGCACCGCGCUCGCACGGCUUUGUCCGUGCUACAAAGCAGCCUGUUAAACUAUUGGAACUAAUGCGCCGCAGCUGCGCGAGUGACUUCUGCUGCUUAUGUACAUAAAAAGUCCUGGGGGGAGGGCUUAACCAUCAGAUGCCUGCUGCUGGGUUGUUUGGCUAGUCUUUCCAUUUGCUUAUUCCUGAAUCCAAAGGAAAGAAAAACUUUGAACUUGACCUUCCUCUCCCGCAGGGCUAUUUAUCUCCCUACAGUCCACGUUCAUAAAAGAAAAAUGCCAAUCCUUUGUUUUUUUCUCUCUUUUUUUUUUAAUAAGGGAAGAAUAAACAAGCACUAGCUACACAAGGAGAAAUACUUCCCUGCUUACUAAACUCAAUCUGAUGAACCACAUAAGACAAAUCCCAUGAGAAUGAAAUUGACUUUUUCUCCCUCUGUCUCUAGUUAGAACCCAAACAAACAAAAGGUUUCAAAAUACUACACAUGGAACGCUUUACAGGUUGCAGUUGUGUUCUACAACCUUAUUAAUUAGGGCCCUUUCAAAGAACUAACAACACUAUUUAGACUCACAAAUGAUAUGUUUUCUCUUUGCAUUUAAACUAAUGCCCCUCCAGAAGGACAGAUAGUUUUCAUAAGAGUAGUUUCAAUUACUAUUUGUGAUAUAUACAAUUUUAUGUAUUCAACUAUAAGAGGGUGGAAUACAUCUAGCUUUUCGUGAUUUCCUUUAUUGCCUUUUAAUGUAAGAUUUUUAUGUGUGAUGAAUAGAGCUUCAACAAACUUAUUCAGAGAGCUUAAAAGAAAUAAUUUUGCAAUUGGAAAAAAAGUAAAAAUGUUGUAACAAGAAAGUAUGAAGUAAAGCCUGUUAAAUCUCAUUUAUGUGGACACUAGAAGUGCAGACAUUAAACAGCAUUGGAAAGAAACUCAAACCUUUGCAUAGGGAAGUUCCCAGUAGCUUAGUGAUGCUACAGACCAUGUGGGAUUGAAAUCAAAUCACAUCUCUAACGAUCUAGGAAUAUUUUAUGUUUCUUAAAAACCCAAUAACUUAGGGAGCUACAAAAUGCAUCCAGAAAAAAAAAAAUGGAGACUGGAAUGAUUCUUUUUGUUUCCUAUGAUUACUAUUAGGUCAAUUUUAAAAGUUUAUUCUGUUUCCCUGCCCCCCUGGUUGCUCCAUUUUAAGUUCCAAUUCCUUGUCUUUUAAAUGUUUACAGAAAAGUGUACUCUGAGGUUCUAUUCACAGAAGGACAGGGUCAACCACUUGGUCCAUCUUUCCUGUUAGCAUGCCCACAACAAUUCAAUGACACAUAAGUGCUAUGACUUCAUCAAAAAAUGUUAGACAAAUAUUUGAAUUUGAAGAAUCAGGAUAUGAUUAUUCUUAUUCUCAUAAUUUUUACCAAUAUAAAAGUUUUUGUCACUUUACAUCAUUAAGUGGCAAGGUAUGUGUGUGCAUGUGUGUGUGUAUUGUCUAUAUAUAUACUAUAUUUCUAUACAGUGGGCUGAGGGACUGAACGGCCUUAGAAGUUGUGCAAAACAGGUGUGCAAUGCUUGCCCUCAAGGAGCUUGUAACUUAAUGGAAAGGAUUGGACAAUACUUAGAAAAACAUACCAGAACAACUGGAAAAUGAAAUAGUCAGAUGCAGAAAAGUACAAUGAAAAUGAAAUGCGUAUAUGAUGAGAAAACUCUGGGUAAAGUUUAAGAAGGGAAGGUUCAGAAAUUAAUGGAAAGAAAGAAAAGAAAGAAGUGCACUUUACGAGUAAAAACUAGAAUGAACAAAUGCAAUUAAAAAUGUAUUUGUACAUGUUUUUAGUUUUGUGCAAAACAAAACAAAACAAACGACAACAAAAUUAAAGGCUCAGCAGUCUGUAGACACAAAGCCUGUUCAGGUUCAAAGAAAUAAAAAAUUCAGAUGAUAGGAUAAGUGAGAAAAACUAAUAUGUAUUAAACUGAAAUGGCAAAAAAAAAUAUUUUAGAAAAAAUCUCUAGUUUCUGAAGACUCAGUUCCAUUCAACAAACAUUUAUGGGCAUUUAUUUUUUGCCAGACACUAUAAUGGGUGCUCUAGGAUAUUUAAAGAUUAGCUUGGCCAGGUGUGGUGGCUCACACCUGUAAUCUCAUCACUUUGGGAGGCCAAUGCAGGAAGAUCACUUGAGCUCAGGAAUUCAAGACUAGCCUGGGUAACAUAGCAAGACCCCGUCUCUAUAAAACAUUAAAAAAUAGCUGAGUGUGGUGGCAUGCGUCUGCAGUCCCAGGCUACUCAGGAGGCUGAGAUGGGAGGAUUGCUUGAGCCUGGGAGGUUGAGGCAGCAUUGAGCCAUGAUCAUGCCACUGCACUCCAGACUGCAUGACAGAGCGAGACCCAGCCUCAAAAUAAAUAAAUAAAUAAAUAAAUAAAUAAAUAAAAAGGUUAGCUUGAUACUAUGUCUCUAUAUCUGCCCUUGGGGAGCUUAUAGCCUAAUAGGAUAGAUGACAAGUGCAAAAUGAUUGACAUGAAAAAGUGCAGCCCAAGUACCCAGACGAGAUCUUGGAGGCUGGAGAUAUUUAAAUGUCUGGCUCUAAGUAGAGAAAAGUGAUUCUUAGUGACCAAGUAAAGGAAGAGAUUAUACUAAAAAUGAUAUGGGCGACAGAGCGAGACUCCAUCUCAAAAAGAAGGAAAGAAAGAAAAAGAAAAAGAAAGAAAGAAAGAAAGAAAGAAAGAAAGAAAGAAAGAAAGAAAGAAAGAGAGAGAGAGAGAGAAGAAAGAAAGAAAGAAAGAAAGAAAGAAAGAAAGAAAGAAAGAAAGAAAGAAAAGAAAGAAUGAUAUGGGCAAUAAUAGGGAAAUUCAUUGAAUGCAAGGGACUCUGGGUUCUAGUUCUUGCUUUUAGCCACCUUGUAGAAGAGCUUACAAAGAGUAAACUAUUUACAUGCUGAUCUUCUCACAAAUAGUAUGCCAUGUAGAAUGUUCAGAGAGUCUGGGCACUUUGUUAAUGAUCACAAUUAAGCUAAAUAGUAGAUAUAACAAUAUUCUAUUCAAAAUGCAUUGAUCAUUAUGGUUAAACAUGGACAAAAGCAUUCUGCAGAUCUCCCAUUGCUUUGGUGUAUGUUAAAGGAUUUCAGUGUAUUUGGUUGGUGCAAAAGUAAUUACAGUUUUUGCCAUUAAAAGUAAUGAAGCAGGAUUGAGAGUUUCUUUACAGGUCCCCAUAUCCCAUUAUUAUUAUUGAUUCAAUUUCCUAAUGCUUACUGUUAACCUCCUAAAUCUGCCAAAUGAUACAUGAUAUGCAUACUGCUUUUUAAAAAUACAAAAUUAAUUUUGUUUUGAGAAUUCUUGGCCAGUCCUUGAAAUAACUUGAAAAAGCCUGCAGUGUUUCAAAGUCAUGCUUGAAAAUUGCUGCCUUAGGAAACACAAAUUGUAAGAUUCUGAAGAUAACCAAAGGUGGGUGAGGUUUGGACAGACUGGCAAUUUUUUCUUAUGUUAAGGCAGAGGGUCAGAGGGUGCUCUUCCAACAGGAGCACUCCACAGCUUGUGUUUUUCACAAAAUCUCUUUAAAAUUAGCUGCCAGGAACUUGUCUGAAAAACACUGUACAGUAAGUGACAGCCAAAUAAGGCCUCAGGUUUUAACAAGUGGAAAUUUGAAAGUGGGCGAAAUGUUUUGAUAAAGUCACCCACGCCUAGAACAGCAGAUAACAUCUCUUAACUUCAUGAAAGUUUUCCUAGAUACCUCUUUGUGGAUUUUCAAAAUUUGUGGGAUUUUUUAGAUUAUUUGGAAUCCUUGAAAAUGUUUUGUCUCAUUAAUCAUUUAUAGGUGGUAACAAGGAAGAUGAGAUUUUCACAGGUUCUGACACAAAAAGUGUGCUUUUGUCUAGGUACAAACAAGCAAGGCUAGAUUUCCCACAAUGGAAAGAGAGCAAUGAUGUGGCUAAUUCAAAAGGAUGGAAGAAAUGAUUUAUACUCAGCUAUGGAAAACAUUGUAUGUUUCUCCAAACUAUGUUCUAAUUAGAUAAACAAGGGUUAAAAGGAAAUCGCUUUCAAAUUGUCCACAGGAUAUAGGCCAUGGAAAUGACCUGAUAGUGGGAGAGGUUAUGUUGUCUACUGGAUAAGAAGGUAUGGGUUAAUUUUAGAAAUGAAAAGUUUAUUUUGAACCCCAGAAGUACUAGUUACUAGUUGUGUUACUUUACUUUUCAGUGGCUCAGUUCCAGAUCUGUGAAAUAGGACGAUAAUAAUGAGGAUGAUGAUGAUAGUAGCUAUUGCAAAAGAAUGCUACAAGGAUUAAAUGUGUUAAUCCCCAUGAUAUAAGUGUUUAGGAGAGUGCCUGGUACAGAAUAACCACCCAGUAAAUAAAAAUCUACCAUUAUGUGAUAUGAGGAACUUAGAGAAAUUCACACUUAGUAGAUAUCAAUUAUGUACCAGGAACUUUGCAUUUUAUUUCCCUUAAUCCUUGCAAUCAUACUUAGGGUGUUGCUUUCGUACUACAAUUUUAGAGAUGAGGGCAUAAGGAGGUUAAAUAACUUGCCAGAGGUCAUAUAGUUUACCAAUGGCAUAAAUGGGAUUUAAAUCUGUGUCUAUGAGGUGCCAGAGCCUCUAUUUUGACUCUACAUUAUACAAACCCAAAAGGAAAGCAGAUCUAGUAUUUAAAAUUGUUUAUGGUUAUUUCUAUGGAAAACAGUAGACACCUGGGUCCCCUGAGUUCUUGAUCUAGUUAACACUAAAUUUUGCCCUUGGCUAUUCUCAGCAUAUACACUGAGUCAACCUGUAAACCUGCCAAGUCAUGAAGUUCUUUCUGAGGCAUGGUAUUGAAGUAAGGGCAGCUGAAGGUGGAAUUCCUGAGAUGUUUUUUGUUUUUAUGUUUUUUUCUCCUCUAUAUACCUGUCUUCUUUCAAUAUGAAGAAAUUUUAAUUAAACUCCAUGAUAGUUUUCCACUUAGCCAAAUAAUAUAUUCUAAAAUUAUUUUAUCUUAAAUUUUCAUCAUGAUUAUUUUUCAUUAUAAAGUUUGAUGAUAAAGUUAUAUCAUCCCCUUAUCUAAAAGCACAUCUGAACACUGUAGAACAUGGUUUUUCAAAUCAUCAUCAUCAUUGACCUUUUAUUAGGUACUGGGCUAGUAGGCAGAGAUUUCCAAAAAAGUAAAAUAUCUACUUUAGAAGGGAAUAUAAAUAAAACUCCCAACAAAGAAAAUAAAUACUAAGAAUCAAAUUAAUAAUAGAAAUGAUUGGUGCCUUCUGGGUUAAAAGGAGUGACCAAUAAUUUAUCUAGACAGAGAAUAACUCAAAAACAAGGCAGGGCUUGAAUUAAGUCUUGAAAGAAGGUACAUAUGGAGGAAUAAUGAGAGGUUUGGAGAGAUAGGUAGUUUAGGGGAGGUAAGAUGCAUUGGAUUUUUAGACUUUUUACUAUGGAAAAAUCAGUAACAUUUACGUGGUAGGUGGGUAAACAAUAUAUAAAGAGAUUUAAAUAAGUUUAACCUGGUUUUAAUAUGUUCUAUAAUUUGCAAGAGGAGGAUUCUAAAGAUCUUAUUUCAAUAUUUCCUAUUCAAUAUGAAUUUGUGUAGAAAUGGAAAGAGAGUACAAGACUUAGAAAAGUUUGUUCAUUGGCUGUAUAUAAGCUUGGAAGUCAAUAGAGAAGUCAAAAAUUCAUCAGAUAUUUCUUAUACAUUCCACCCAAUUAAACAUCAAAAGCCAGUAAACAGUUUUUUUAAGAGUUUCUAGAUUUCAUUGAACAAAACAAAUAUAUGUCUUGAUUUACAUGACAGCUAUAUUUUGAGCAUAUGAUGUGCUCUUCUAAGAUCAAUUCAUUUUAAUAAAAAGACCAAAUCUAGUUAUAUGGGGUUUUUUUCCUAGAUUAAAACUAAAUGUUAGAGUGAUCUCUGCUGAAAUAGUAAGUCAUUAUUUCACUUGAAAGAAACGUUAACAUUUUAUAGGGCACAACUUACAAUGGCAUUUUUUUUUUCUUUUUUCUUUUUUUUUUUUUUCUGAGACACAGUCCGGCUUUGUUGUCCAGGCUGGAGUGCAGUGGUGCCAUCUCAGCUCACUGCAACCUCCACCUUCUGGGUUCAAGUGAUUCUCCUGCCUCAGCCUCCUGAGUAGUGAGUAGCUGGGAUUACAGGCACCAACCACCAUGCCGGGCUAAUUUUCGUGUUUUUAGUAGAGACAGGGUUUCACCACAUUGGUCAGACUUGUCUCAAACUCCUGACCUCAAGUGAUCCUCCCACCUCGGCCUACCAAAGUGCUGGGAUUACAGGUAUGAGCCACUGUGCCUGGCCUAUACCAGCAAUUUUAACACAGCAUGUUUAUUUUAUUUCAGAGAAAAGUUGCAAUACAAUUUAGGUAAGAACCUUCCCUUUCCUCCUAAUAUAGUCAUUCUAAAAAUUCUAAGGGAAAUUACUUCUAAUUAUUUUGCUAAAAGGAAACCCCAGAAUGCCCUCUCUAAAUAUUACUCUGACUUCAAAGAAGAAAAUAAGUUUUGAUAGCCACUAAAUGUUUAACAUAUUAUAAUACCCUAUAUUUCUGGGUUUUAUUUCAGUGAGAGGAAUAACCAAACAUUUUGUCUGCAACUUGUCAACAACAACAACAACAAAAAUCCCAUAUCUCAAUCUGUACUAGAUCAUCCCUUAGCCUAUUGAAUUACUGAGAAAAAAAUAACUAGAUGUAAGUGCAAAACACUAGUGCACUAAGCAUAAGCACUUUGCAUUAUUACAUGUUUUGAUCAUUACAAUCAUUCUAACAAGGUGGUUACUAUUACCCACAUUUUAAAUCUGAGAAAACUGACAUACAAAAAAAAAAUUAAAUAACUUCCUCGAAGUCAUCCACACCAAAUGAUCUCUAAUCCUCAAGGUCAUAAUCAAAAGAUUUUCAAACUCCCCAAAAUUGUUCAUUGUAUUACAAACACCAGACAUUUAGUGCACGAAAGAUCUUGGGUGGACCUUCAGAAUCCUUGUGCAUAAUGAAAUUGACAAGAAGAAACAAACGUUUGUUGUCUUUGUCCACAUAACAGACAUGAUAAGGAACAAAAUCCAACAGGUAUCCUAAAUUCAGAGGAAUAUAACACAAUAGUGAUCUAUUCAAAACUCAACACCAAGGAACACAUUUCCUUAUCUUUCUCUUUCAUUUGCUAUACCCACCCCUGACCGGCCCCCAAGAAAGGAUUUUUUUGGAAUCUUUCUCAAAUUAGUAUAAUAUAACUGGAUAACUUCCCUCUAAUCCCCAUACAUAACAUCUGUUCCAGUCAUUCUGUUUUUUGAAUAUGGUUUCUAUGAGACAGUGUAUUUCACUGAACAUGUCUAUAAUUCAUAGAUUUUAAUUAUAGUUGGAAAUUUUUUCUAAAGUUAAACAUAUCUAAACAAUGGUUUCUCAUAAGGAAAUCAUAUUUUCAGAAAUAACAUUUUUUCAUACCUAACUAUAAGGAAUCUUCUGAAACCUAGAUUUUUAUCUGGGAUGCUUUACAAAAGGCAUUAGGGAAACCAGAGUUGUAUUCCCCAUUUUGUAAUAAGUUAGCAAAGUCACCUUCAACAAGUUCAUUAAACUUCUCUGGAACUCACUUUCCCAGUAUGAAGUCAUAUAACUUAACUAAGGUUUAAUAACUUAAAAAAAAUCUUAUCCUAGUGUUGAAUUGGGAGUUUCAUUUGUCAUUUAAGGAAAACAAAUAUCAAGUGCAUCCUGAGCCAAUAUAGUCUCUUCCACUUUCAUGCGGUGUUAUUAUAUACCACAAAUGCUUUUAGAAGAAAAAUGAAAAACAAGAUAUUCAAUGUUUAGGAAAUUGAAGAUGGAAAACAAGAGAGUGCUACAAUAAAUAGGUGCUUUACUGAUGCUUUUAUGGCUCUGAAACUUGGGAAACUUUUUUCCCUAACUAGGUAAAAAAUUUGUUCUGAUAUCUGAGUCACAGCUUGGGAGAUGGAGUGGGAGAGCAAUGCCUAAGUUAAUUUAAUAUUUGAAAUCAAAGCAUUGUUUUACUUCUAAAAUAGUGAAACUACACAGAUAGGUAUAUUCACUGUUACAUAAUAAGUCAAAUUUUCUAAAACAUCAGGGCUUAAGUUACCUUUUAGACAAUUUCAGAGGAACCUCUCCACUCACAUUUCACAAAGCAUGUCUCACCGAAGAUGAGUUUUGCCUAAUUUUAAUGAAUGUUUCACGAAAAAAAAAAAAGCAUUUUGUGAUUUAAAAAAUAUAUGGAGCUGGGUUGAAUACAACUAAAUGGGGCUCCUCAGAGUAAGAGCUCUCCGUCUUUUAAUAUGUUAAUGUGAUUUGUGAAUGUAGACUCGCCUGGCUCUAAAUCCACCUGCAUCCUCCAGCAUGUCCAGAGAUUAAUGUUUCCAGGAACCCUUAACUCGACUUUCCACAAACAUCUCCUUGAACAUAGCUGAUAGAUAAUGCAAACCUUCCUGAUUUUCUGGAGUGCGUUCUUUUUUCUUUUUGUUGAACUGCAGCCAAACGGAAUGCUUCCAGCAGAAUGAUGACUUAGUUCGGGUACUGGCUGCCCUGGUAACAGCCUCCAUUAGAAUCAGGUUAUUGUUAUGGUCCUGCUCUCAGGCUAAUUUCACCCUCCUCUGCAAUUGGUGUAUCUCCAAAUGUAAAAGACAUAACCUUAGCAAAGACUAUGAGAGGGAUGGGGCCAUGCCUCUAAAUAACAGCUUUGUGGACAGAAGCCUGUUGGGAGACUAUGGACAAACUAACAGGACAGAAAAAUAUUGGACUAGAUGGUACUGUUGGUAAGAAGAUGUAUAAAGGCAACUGAAGGCCAGACAGGUGCUCUUCAAACAUUGAUGGACCUACAAAUCACCUGGAGACCAUGCUAACAUAAAGAUUCUGAUUCAGUACAUCUGGGGUGAGGCUCGAGCUCCUGAAUUUCCAAAGCUCCCAUGGGAUGCUAUUGCCUGUCCAUAGAUUGCUCCAUAUGUAUCUUGGCCUUAGAUUAUGUAGGUAUUGAUGGCUAAUGAAUACAGCAAAAGAAGGCAAUUAACUUGGACACAGGUGAUCCUAUUUCUUUAUAUUCAGGCAUUUGUGUAAUGUUUAAAUUCACUGCUGAUAUUAUAAUAAAUCAUGCAAUUUCUAAAAUAACUUAUAUAACAGUAUUACAUAACAAAAUCAUAAACCAUUUUUUUCAAAAGCGCAUAUACACUCUAAAAGAUUCCAUUCUAGAAGCAAACUUUGCUAUAUUAAAUCCACACUUUUUAGAUGAGACAAAAAAAAGAAGUUGAAAUAAACUCUUUUGCAGGUGUUGUGAAUAUCUAUGUCUGUUAAUAAAUUAUAAAUUAAAAGUAAUAAUUACAUAAUUGAAAGGUAAACUUUAAGACUUAUAGACUGUUUUCUGAAUGUAAUUUAUUUAAUUAUUCUACAAGCAUUUAAUAAGACACACCAUGUGCUAGGUUCUGUGGGUCCAGUGAAGACAUGGUCUUUGUGUAUCUGGGGAUACAAGAUUCAUUCUUUGCUACACUCACAGUCUCCUGGGACUUUCAGUCUAGUCUACUGUGCAGUAUGAAACAUGCGAAGGACACUUACCAUCAAGAUUCACUACCACACUAUUGACCUAUUAUCUAAAGAAUUAAGAAAGUAUGCAUCCGCCAACUCAAUACCUAGCCUUAUAGUCAAUCUAUGGAUAACUGUAAAAGCAGGUAUAUGCUUUUCUUUCUGGGGCUUCCCAAGAAGUUAUUCUGACCUGGAAGAGCUCAAAUGGUUGCUAAAUUAUGAAAAUCAAUUUGAAUUUCUUUCUGAAAUUAUUAUUUUAAGCUGUAGUAAAAUACAUAUGAAUAUUACACCAAUAUUAUAAAGGCAUAUAUUCUAGUUAGGCUAAUAACCACCAUUUAUAUCCUGUAAUUAUAUAAACAUUGCAUAAGCCAACUAGUAAUUAUUUAAUCAAUCAGUUAUAAGGGAAAUCAACCUAUGACAAAGAAAUCCUCUUGAUACACCCCUGGUGAAAACACUUCAGUCUAAACAGCAGUUGCCUCAUGAUUCUUGUACUUUAAAUGCUGGGAAUAUAGUAAGUGUUCAAUAGACACUAGACACAGGUAGAAAAGGAAGGAGGAAAUGAUUUUGCCGUUUGUUUUACUAUUUUUUAUGCUUUUAGAUAGUUAACAGGCUAAAAAGGUAGGGUGUUCAAAUCAAUUUAUACUGAUCUAUCUACUAAAAUUCUACAUUGUUUUAGAAAUCCUUUUGCUAGGCCAGUGCAGUGGCUCACACUUGUAAUCCCAGCACUUUGGGAGGCCAAGUUGGGCCAAUCACCUGAGGUCAGGAAUUUGAGACCAAACUGGCCAAC
RNAcentral lists this long non-coding RNA (10824 nucleotides) under Homo sapiens (human). Its description in RNAcentral is "HSALNT0088390". Lineage: Eukaryota; Metazoa; Chordata; Mammalia; Primates; Hominidae. The record is from RNAcentral.